UACGUAGGGUGCAAGCGUUGUCCGGAAUUAUUGGGCGUAAAGAGCUCGUAGGCGGUCUGUCGCGUCGAAUGUGAAAACCCGGGGCUCAACCCCGGGCCUGCAUUCGAUACGGGCAGACUAGAGUUCGGUAGGGGAGUCUGGAAUUCCUGGUGUAGCGGUGAAAUGCGCAGAUAUCAGGAGGAACACCGAUGGCGAAGGCAGGUCACUGGGCCGCAACUGACGCUGAGGAGCGAAAGCAUGGGGAGCGAACAGG
RNAcentral lists this ribosomal RNA (253 nucleotides) under uncultured bacterium. RNAcentral describes it as "partial 16S ribosomal RNA". It matches the Rfam family "Bacterial small subunit ribosomal RNA", at positions 524 to 776 of the family's 1533-position model. The record is from RNAcentral.